GCAGCAGCCGCGGUAAUACAGAGGGUGCAAGCGUUAUCCGGAUUUAUUGGGCGUAAAGCGUGUGUAGGCGGUUUACUAAGUCUAAGAUUAAAGCCCGAGGCUUAACCUCGGUUCGUUUUAGAUACUGGUAGACUUGAGUAUGGUAGAGGCAAAUGGAAUUUCUAGUGUAGCGGUGAAAUGCGUAGAUAUUAGAAGGAACAUCAGUGGCGAAGGCGAUUUGCUGGGCCAUCACUGACGCUGAGACACGAAAGCGUGGGGAGCAAAUAGGAUUAGAUACCCUAGUAGUCCACGCUGUAAACGAUGAGCACUAAGUGUCGGGUAACCGGUGCUGAAGUUAACACAUUAAGUGCUCCGCCUGAGUAGUACGGUCGCAAGACUGAAACUUAAAGGAAUUGGCGGGGGAC
This 404-nucleotide ribosomal RNA is filed under the name uncultured bacterium. Its description in RNAcentral is "bacterial SSU rRNA". It matches the Rfam family "Bacterial small subunit ribosomal RNA", at positions 508 to 921 of the family's 1533-position model. The record is from RNAcentral.